This 22-nucleotide microRNA is filed under the name Xenopus laevis (African clawed frog). RNAcentral describes it as "xla-miR-5165". Lineage: Eukaryota; Metazoa; Chordata; Amphibia; Anura; Pipidae. The record is from RNAcentral.
UGUAGACACAGAGGGAUGAUUC